Molecule: ribosomal RNA, 419 nt
Filed under: bacterium
Lineage: Bacteria
Description: partial 16S ribosomal RNA
Rfam family: Bacterial small subunit ribosomal RNA
Source: RNAcentral
UGGGGGAUAUUGCACAAUGGGCGAAAGCCUGAUGCAGCGACGCCGCGUGGGGGAUGAAGGCCUUCGGGUUGUAAACUUCUUUUGCUCUGAACAAGGCGCACCAUGGGGUGUGUUGAGUGUAGGGGUUGAUUAGCGCCGGCUAACUACGUGCCAGCAGCCGCGGUAAUACGUAGGGCGCGAGCGUUGUCCGGAAUUAUUGGGCGUAAAGGGCUUGUAGGUGGCUGGUUGCGUCUGUCGUGAAAGCUCAUGGCUUAACUGUGGGGUUGCGGUGGGUACGGGCAGGCUUGAGUGCAGUAGGGGAGGCUGGAAUUCCUGGUGUAGCGGUGGAAUGCGCAGAUAUCAGGAGGAAUACCGGUGGCGAAGGCGGGUCUCUGGGCUGUUACUGACACUGAGGAGCGAAAGCAUGGGGAGCGAACAGG